UAAGCGGAGGAAAAGAACUAACAAGGAUUCCCCUAGUAGCGGCGAGCGAACCGGGAGAAGCCCAGCUUGAGAAUCCCGUCGUCUCGAUUUGCGGCGGGAGCUGUAGUCUGGAGAAGCGUCCUCUGCAGCGGACCUGGCCUAAGUCCCCUGGAAAGGGGCGUCAGAGAGGGUGAGAACCCCGUCGGGCCGGGAGCCUGCUGCUCCACGAGGCACUGUCGACGAAUCGGGCUGUUUGGGAAUGCAGCCCUAAGUGGGAGGUAAAUUCCUUCCAAGGCUAAAUACGGGCGGGAGACCGAUAGCGAACAAGUACCGCUAGGGAAAGAUUAAAAGGACUUUGAAAAGAGAGUUAAAAAGUGCUUGAAAUUGCUGGGAGGAAACGAAUGGAAGCCUCAUGUGCGCCCCGGUCGGAUGCGGAACGGCGUGCACUGGUCCGCCGCUCGACACCGGGCGCUUGUCCGCGUUGGCUUUUUUUUAUUUCCGGCGGGAUAAAUUCGUCCUUUUUGUCGGGCCCGCCGAUGCGUUCCGGGAAGCCCAAGAAUCAAUUCGCGCCCUUUGUUAAAUUUGGCCGCUCCCCCCUCCGGGGGAGCACCUGCGCACUCGGGACGNCGGCGUAGUGGGCUUUUCAUCCGAGCCGUCGUGAAACACGGACCAAGGAGUCUAACAUGCAUGCGAGCCGUUGGGUGCCAAAGGCAAACAAAACGCUUAUGUUUUUGGAGGCCCAAAUAACUUGAUAAGGUGUGAUCCUCCCUCUCUCUCGAGGAGGGGUGCAACAUCGACCGACCAUGAUCUUCUGUGAAAGGUUCGAGUAAGAGCAUCCCUGUUGGGACCCGAAAGAUGGUGAACUAUGCCUGAACAGGGCGAAGCCAGAGGAAACUCUGGUGGAGGCUCGUAGCGAUACUGACGUGCAAAUCGUUCGUCAGACUCGGGUAUAGGGGCGAAAGUCUAAUCGAACCAUCUAGUAGCUGGUUCCCUCCGAAGUUUCCCUCAGGAUAGCUGGAGCACGAGGAGUUUCAUC
RNAcentral lists this ribosomal RNA (1015 nucleotides) under Clevea hyalina. Its description in RNAcentral is "eukaryotic LSU rRNA". It matches the Rfam family "Eukaryotic large subunit ribosomal RNA", at positions 47 to 1005 of the family's 3401-position model. Lineage: Eukaryota; Viridiplantae; Streptophyta; Marchantiopsida; Marchantiales; Cleveaceae. The record is from RNAcentral.